This 207-nucleotide ribosomal RNA is filed under the name uncultured bacterium. RNAcentral's name for it is "partial 16S ribosomal RNA". It matches the Rfam family "Bacterial small subunit ribosomal RNA", at positions 568 to 774 of the family's 1533-position model. The record is from RNAcentral.
UGCGUAGGCGGCUACGUGUGUCAGAGGUGAAAGCUCACGGCUCAACCGUGGAAUUGCCUUUGAAACUGCGUAGCUUGAAUCCGAGAGAGGAUGAUGGAAUUCCUGGUGUAACGGUGAAAUAUGCAGAUAUCAGGAAGAACACCGGUGGCGAAGGCGGUCAUCUGGCUCGGUACUGACGCUGAGGCACGAAAGCUAGGGUAUCGAACG